CCUACGGGAGGCAGCAGUGGGGAAUUUUGGACAAUGGGCGCAAGCCUGAUCCAGCCAUGCCGCGUGUGGGAAGAAGGCCUUCGGGUUGUAAACCACUUUUGUCAGGGAAGAAACGGUCUGAACUAAUACUUUGGACUAAUGACGGUACCUGAAGAAUAAGCACCGGCUAACUACGUGCCAGCAGCCGCGGUAAUACGUAGGGUGCAAGCGUUAAUCGGAAUUACUGGGCGUAAAGCGUGCGCAGGCGGCUUUGCAAGACAGAUGUGAAAUCCCCGGGCUCAACCUGGGAACUGCAUUUGUGACUGCAUGGCUAGAGUACGGUAGAGGGGGGAUGGAAUUCCGCGUGUAGCAGUGAAAUGCGUAGAUAUGCGGAGGAACACCGAUGGCGAAGGCAAUCCCCUGGACCUGUACUGACGCUCAUGCACGAAAGCGUGGGGAGCAAACAGGAUUAGAUACCCUGGUAGUCCACGCCCUAAACGAUGUCAACUGGUUGUUGGGAGGGUUUCUUCUCAGUAACGAAGCUAACGCGUGAAGUUGACCGCCUGGGGAGGACGGCGCGAGUAGAACGAGAAGAAGUAGAGNGNGAGACGNGCGAGACGACGACGAGGGAGGAGG
Molecule: ribosomal RNA, 615 nt
Filed under: uncultured bacterium
Lineage: Bacteria
Description: bacterial SSU rRNA
Rfam family: Bacterial small subunit ribosomal RNA (bases 1-543)
Source: RNAcentral